RNAcentral lists this ribosomal RNA (253 nucleotides) under uncultured bacterium. Its description in RNAcentral is "partial 16S ribosomal RNA". It matches the Rfam family "Bacterial small subunit ribosomal RNA", at positions 524 to 776 of the family's 1533-position model. The record is from RNAcentral.
UACGGAGGAUGCAAGCGUUAUCCGGAUUGAUUGGGCGUAAAGCGUCUGUAGGUGGUUACGCUAGUCGGCUGUUAAAGAUCAGGGCUGAACCCUGAGCAAGCAGUCGAAACUGCGUGGCUGGAGUACGGUAGGGGCAGAGGGAAUUCCCGGUGUAGCGGUGAAAUGCGUAGAUAUCGGGAGGAAGGCCGGUGGCGAAGGCGGCGCUCUGGAACAUUUCUGACGCUGAGGCUCGAAAGCGUGGGGAGCAAACAGG